This 340-nucleotide ribosomal RNA is filed under the name uncultured bacterium. RNAcentral's name for it is "bacterial SSU rRNA". It matches the Rfam family "Bacterial small subunit ribosomal RNA", at positions 30 to 371 of the family's 1533-position model. The record is from RNAcentral.
AUUGAACGCUGGCGGCGUGCUUAACACAUGCAAGUCGAUCGGUAACAGGUGUAGCAAUACAUGCUGACGAGAGGCGGACGGGUGAGUAAUGCUUGGGAAUCUGCCUAUUAGUGGGGGACAACCCGGGGAAACUCGGGCUAAUACCGCAUACGCUCUACGGAGGAAAGCCGGGGACCGCAAGGCCUGGCGCUAAUAGAUGAGCCCAAGUCGGAUUAGCUAGUUGGUAGGGACGCCUACCAAGGCGACAAUCCGUAGCUGGUCUGAGAGGACGACCAGCCACACCGGAACUGAGACACGGUCCGGACUCCUACGGGAGGCAGCAGUGGGGAAUAUUGGACAA